RNAcentral lists this ribosomal RNA (492 nucleotides) under uncultured bacterium. RNAcentral describes it as "partial 16S ribosomal RNA". It matches the Rfam family "Bacterial small subunit ribosomal RNA", at positions 29 to 507 of the family's 1533-position model. The record is from RNAcentral.
AGUGAACGCUGGCGGUAGGCCUAACACAUGCAAGUCGAACGGCAGCACAGUAAGAGCUUGCUCUUACGGGUGGCGAGUGGCGGACGGGUGAGGAAUACAUCGGAAUCUACUUUUUCGUGGGGGAUAACGUAGGGAAACUUACGCUAAUACCGCAUACGACCUACGGGUGAAAGCAGGGGAUCUUCGGACCUUGCGCGAUUGAAUGAGCCGAUGUCGGAUUAGCUAGUUGGCGGGGUAAAGGCCCACCAAGGCGACGAUCCGUAGCUGGUCUGAGAGGAUGAUGAGCGACAAUGGAACGGAGACACGGUCCAGACGCCUACGGGAGGCAGCAGUGGGGAAUAUUGGACAAUGGGCGCAAGCCUGAUCCAGCCAUACCGCGUGGGUGAAGAAGGCCUUCGGGUUGUAAAGCCCUUUUGUUGGGAAAGAAAAGCAGCAGGUUAAUACCCCGCUGUUCUGACGGUACCCAAAGAAUAAGCACCGGCUAACUUCGUG